AUUGAACGCUGGCGGCAGGCUUAACACAUGCAAGUCGAGCGGGGUGAUGGUGCUUGCACUAUCACUUAGCGGCGGACGGGUGAGUAAUGCUUAGGAAUCUGCCUAUUAGUGGGGGACAACAUCUCGAAAGGGAUGCUAAUACCGCAUACGUCCUACGAGAGAAAGCAGGGGAUCACUUGUGACCUUGCGCUAAUAGAUGAGCCUAAGUCGGAUUAGCUAGUUGGUGGGGUAAAGGCCUACCAAGGCGACGAUCUGUAGCGGGUCUGAGAGGAUGAUUCGCCACACUGGGACUGAGACACGGCCCAGCAUCCUACGGGAGGCAGCAGUGGGGAAUAUUGGGCAAUGGGGGGAACCCUGAUCCAGCCAUGCCGCGUGUGUGAAGAAGGCCUUAUGGUUGUAAAGCACUUUAAGCGAGGAGGAGGCUCUUUUGGUUAAUACCCAAGAUGAGUGGACGUUACUCGCAGAAUAAGCACCGGCUAACUCUUUGCCAGCAGCCGCCGUAA
This 503-nucleotide ribosomal RNA is filed under the name uncultured bacterium. RNAcentral describes it as "partial 16S ribosomal RNA". It matches the Rfam family "Bacterial small subunit ribosomal RNA", at positions 30 to 523 of the family's 1533-position model. The record is from RNAcentral.